GUAGCUCACUUCAGCAGUACAUACACUAAAAGUGGAACGAUAGAGAGAAGGUUAGCACAGCCCCUGCACAAGGGUGACACGCAAAUUUGUGACGUUUCCAUUAAAAAC
Small nuclear RNA from Rhinolophus ferrumequinum (greater horseshoe bat), 108 nucleotides. The record is from Ensembl. NCBI's taxonomy places the organism in Eukaryota, Metazoa, Chordata, Mammalia, Chiroptera, Rhinolophidae.